UAUCAAGUCCAUAUUUACAUAAUCAUCUUUCUUUUCAGGUUACACCAACAUUGUGUUUAUUUCUAAUAUACUGUUGUAUUAGGUCCAUAUUCACAUCAAU
This is a long non-coding RNA of Haliotis rubra (blacklip abalone), 100 nucleotides long. RefSeq lists it as uncharacterized. The record is from RefSeq and is a predicted model, not a curated record. The transcript has 2 exons. NCBI's taxonomy places the organism in Eukaryota, Metazoa, Mollusca, Gastropoda, Lepetellida, Haliotidae.